RNAcentral lists this ribosomal RNA (668 nucleotides) under uncultured bacterium. Its description in RNAcentral is "bacterial SSU rRNA". It matches the Rfam family "Bacterial small subunit ribosomal RNA", at positions 55 to 725 of the family's 1533-position model. The record is from RNAcentral.
AUGCAAGUCGAGCGAGGCGGGUAGCAAUACCCAGUCGAGCGGCGAACGGGUGAGUAACGCGUGGAUUAUCUACCCUGAGGUGGGGGAUAACCCGGCGAAAGCCGGGCUAAUACCGCAUAACAUCGAAAGAUCAAAGGGGGAGCAAUCUCCCGCCAUUGGAGGAGUCCGCGUCCGAUUAGCUAGUUGGUAGGGUAAUGGCCUACCAAGGCGACGAUCGGUAGCCGGCCUGAGAGGGUGAUCGGCCACACUGGAACUGAGACACGGUCCAGACUCCUACGGGAGGCAGCAGUGGGGAAUUUUGCGCAAUGGGCGAAAGCCUGACGCAGCAACGCCGCGUGGAGGAUGACGGUCCUUGGAUCGUAAACUCCUGUCAGCAGGGAAAAAGGGGACCGGGCUCAUACCCCGGUUCAUUGAUUGUACCUGCAGAGGAAGCCCCGGCUAACUCUGUGCCAGCAGCCGCGGUAAUACAGAGGGGGCAAGCGUUAUUCGGAAUUAUUGGGCGUAAAGGGCGCGUAGGCGGCUCGACAAGUGGAAGGUGAAAUCCCUCGGCUUAACCGAGGAACUGCCCUCCAAACUGUUUUUGCUUGAGGCCGGGAGAGGUGAGUGGAAUUCCCAGUGUAGCGGUGAAAUGCGUAGAUAUUGGGAGGAACACCAGUGGCGAAGGCGGG